UAAUAAGUGUUUUAUGGCACUUCUUAAAUCCAUAUCCACCUUGUGUGCAAUGUCAGUCGUUUUCUUUUCGUCAGAAAAAGGAUCGACCAAACAUCAACUUAUUCUAUUAACUGUUGUCUGAAAACUAUUAUGAAUAAACUAAUUCAAAUA
RNAcentral lists this unclassified non-coding RNA (150 nucleotides) under soil metagenome. Its description in RNAcentral is "partial internal transcribed spacer 1". The record is from RNAcentral.